Sapajus apella (tufted capuchin) is the source of this 2582-nucleotide long non-coding RNA. RefSeq lists it as uncharacterized. The record is from RefSeq and is a predicted model, not a curated record. NCBI's taxonomy places the organism in Eukaryota, Metazoa, Chordata, Mammalia, Primates, Cebidae. The transcript has 3 exons.
CUUUCUUGACCACCUUCUUUUGCCUGCCUUGGUUCUCCCAGGUAUCUGUUUCUGAGGAAACCAGAGGAACUAACUACAUUAGUCCACUUGCUUCAGGGAGCUCCAGCGUCCCUCCAUAGCCACUGUCUGGAGACCAUUCUUCUUCCACUCCAUGGCCCUGCCUGGGGACAAUUCUUGGUGAAUCCUGACACAACUGAGGCUCACAAAAUCCAAAACUUUUCUUUACAGUACACAUAUUUUUGAAAUGAAGGCAAUCCAAGUGAACUAUGAGUGGACUCAGAGUGACAUUGGAUGUUGUGCGUCCAUCUGGUUUUGUGGCUUUGGGGAACAUCUGUAAGAAUAUACCUCUCAAUAUUUCGGGGAUCCCUAGAGACUUCACAGGAUCUGAAUGAAGGUCCUUUAAGAGGAGCGAAGCUACGCCCUGCCAUCAGAGUCUCAGGGCAUAAUUUCCCAGCGCCCCUCACAAUACCAUUUAGCCUUUGCCCAGCGCGCAGUGGAGUUAGAAGUCGUCUCGGCCAAGUGCACAUGGGAACUACAUUGCCCAGAAACCUCUGUGCCGCGUGGUGGCGGCAAUGAUGCGGGCGUUUCCCUGCGAGCGAAAGCUCUCUGGGCGGGACUUCCGGCAUCUUCCUCGCCUCGGUAAUUUUGCGGGCUCUGAGAUAGAAGCAUUCGACUAGAAGGCUUGGGUUGUUGCGGGGUUUCGAGGUGACGGAAACGGAAGCGGGAGGGUGGGGAGGAGGCGCUGUUCGCCCUGCAGAGUGGCUCGCCAGCGAAGACCCCGCCUCCGCCCCCCGGGGCCGGGUUAUAGCGGCCUACGAACCUAAUGGCGGCAGCCGCGGUGAUGGGCCUGGUGCAGGAUAUCUUGGCCUAACAGGGGAACUGGACAAGUGGGGAUGAUCAGGAAAGAAUGUGGAAAUGAUUGCUGGCCUAAUUGACACCAGACUUCGGGAGUUUUGGAAGCCUUGCCGUCAACUCCCACAACAGUUACGGAGGCCAAGGAGACGACCUUGAAAAGAAGGCAGCAUGGAGUGGGUGGCCCCUGUAUUGAUUAAGAAGGGGAUGGACUUAACCUCCACUGUAAGAGUUAACCAAAGCUCGGCAUCCAUGACGGUCCAGGGGUCCUCCAAGAUGUUCAGGCAGCAUCAGUCUUUAGCUGCCAAGCCGAGGAGCAGCAAUGUGAGUCAGUCCGACUUCCAGUGGGGGCGCUCCACAGACAGGGCAGGGCUUAGGAGGAAUCCCUGGCUUCGGACAUUCCUUGGCCCAGUCGCCAGGUUUCCGACACUUGAAGCAUGAUCUGGGAGGGGCAGUGGAUGCUGCAUCCCCGGCACUUUGAAGUCUUUGUGAGCUGGUAAUGUGGCUGAGGUUUGUCUUAUGGCAGAGGCAAGCAUCAGUGGGCAGCAGCUUCUUCCCUAUUAUUGAACACCUUGAAGACUGGGUUGGUUAAUUCCUGUUGUGGCAUUUGAGGGCCAGAUUUAAAUUUCUGUAGCUUUUUUGUAAUGUCGGGGGCUGACUGAGUGAUAAACAUUUUUUGGGAGAGUAGAAGUAAGGAUGAUAUUUAAGCCACUCCACGUGAGAUUAUAGGACUAGGUUAAGUAUUGGAGAAUCUGAUGAAAAUGAUUCUAACCAUUGGCCGAUUUGGGAAAGAUUGGAUAAAGAAAGAAAUGUGCACCCUAACUUUGCCUUUGGCUCCAGUCAUCUUUGGAAGGGGGAAUUGUUGGGCAAAGGCAGAGGAGUUAGCCUUGGGACUAAACUGUAAGCUGGACCAGAUAUGAGGUGGGGAGGUGACGGGAGGUAUAAGGAGGUGGGUUGUGGGCAGAGGAAGAGGAGGGAGGCUUUGGGGGGGGGGGGGUUAGGGCCUGGUUUGGACAGGUGAGGAGGAGAAAGAUUGGAAGGGUUGAUGGACAAGGAAGAUUCUGAGUUACUGGCGGAGGCAAGAGUGGUGGACAGAGGAGAGAGAAGAAAAUUUGGGAUUGGUUGCAUUGAAAGCAGAAAUUAGGGAGGGAUUGGGGUGUAAAAAAAUGCUUGGACGUCAGGCACCUUAAGCAUUUCCCCAUUCAUUUGUGAAAAUUGCCUAGGUCUCACAGAAUAGAAAAAUUGAAAGUGUUGUUUUCUGACCAUUUGGAACCGUUGUCUAAUAUGUACUGGGAUCAGGCUGUAUUGCAGAAAAAAAGACGUUUAAGUUUCAGAUUGGGCUGUAGUUGAAGAGGUUUUAGGUUUUUAGGAUGCAGACUAGAGGCGAAGACUGAGGAAAAGAGGGCAGAACACUGCUUAUAGCAAAGGCGAUAAGUUUUAAAGAAAGAACUAGAGAAGAGACAAGGAGAUGGAGUGAGCAGCUACCAGGAUUUUCAGUAGGCAUUCCUGACAGAGUCCUGGGCUGUAACAUGGGUUAGUGAUCAAAGCAGGCAUCCCUUCGAGUGACCAGACACCAAGGGAAGACCGUCUGACCUAGUGGAGUUCAUAACUAACGUUGCGGAUAAAGAGUGUCUCCUUUGCCUCUAAGAAGCAGAAGGAGUUAGGCCAGGCGUGGUGGCUCACGUCUGUAAUCCAAGCACUUCGGAGGCCAAGGCAGGUGGAUCACCUGA